GAUGAACGCUGGCGGCGUGCCUAAUACAUGCAAGUCGAGCGAACGGACGAGAAGCUUGCUUCUCUGAUGUUAGCGGCGGACGGGUGAGUAACACGUGGAUAACCUACCUAUAAGACUGGGAUAACUUCGGGAAACCGGAGCUAAUACCGGAUAAUAUUUUGAACCGCAUGGUUCAAAAGUGAAAGACGGUCUUGCUGUCACUUAUAGAUGGAUCCGCGCUGCAUUAGCUAGUUGGUAAGGUAACGGCUUACCAAGGCAACGAUGCAUAGCCGACCUGAGAGGGUGAUCGGCCACACUGGAACUGAGACACGGUCCAGACUCCUACGGGAGGCAGCAGUAGGGAAUCUUCCGCAAUGGGCGAAAGCCUGACGGAGCAACGCCGCGUGAGUGAUGAAGGUCUUCGGAUCGUAAAACUCUGUUAUUAGGGAAGAACAUAUGUGUAAGUAACUGUGCACAUCUUGACGGUACCUAAUCAGAAAGCCACGGCUAACUACGUGCCAGCAGCCGCGGUAAUACGUAGGUGGCAAGCGUUAUCCGGAAUUAUUGGGCGUAAAGCGCGCGUAGGCGGUUUUUUAAGUCUGAUGUGAAAGCCCACGGCUCAACCGUGGAGGGUCAUUGGAAACUGGAAAACUUGAGUGCAGAAGAGGAAAGUGGAAUUCCAUGUGUAGCGGUGAAAUGCGCAGAGAUAUGGAGGAACACCAGUGGCGAAGGCGACUUUCUGGUCUGUAACUGACGCUGAUGUGCGAAAGCGUGGGGAUCAAACAGGAUUAGAUACCCUGGUAGUCCACGCCGUAAACGAUGAGUGCUAAGUGUUAGGGGGUUUCCGCCCCUUAGUGCUGCAGCUAACGCAUUAAGCACUCCGCCUGGGGAGUACGACCGCAAGGUUGAAACUCAAAGGAAUUGACGGGGACCCGCACAAGCGGUGGAGCAUGUGGUUUAAUUCGAAGCAACGCGAAGAACCUUACCAAAUCUUGACAUCCUUUGACAACUCUAGAGAUAGAGCCUUCCCCUUCGGGGGACAAAGUGACAGGUGGUGCAUGGUUGUCGUCAGCUCGUGUCGUGAGAUGUUGGGUUAAGUCCCGCAACGAGCGCAACCCUUAAGCUUAGUUGCCAUCAUUAAGUUGGGCACACUAAGUUGACUGCCGGUGACAAACCGGAGGAAGGUGGGGAUGACGUCAAAUCAUCAUGCCCCUUAUGAUUUGGGCUACACACGUGCUACAAUGGACAAUACAAAGGGCAGCGAAACCGCGAGGUCAAGCAAAUCCCAUAAAGUCGUUCUCAGUUCGGAUUGUAGUCUGCAACUCGACUACAUGAAGCUGGAAUCGCUAGUAAUCGUAGAUCAGCAUGCUACGGUGAAUACGUUCCCGGGUCU
RNAcentral lists this ribosomal RNA (1372 nucleotides) under uncultured bacterium. RNAcentral describes it as "bacterial SSU rRNA". It matches the Rfam family "Bacterial small subunit ribosomal RNA", at positions 28 to 1381 of the family's 1533-position model. The record is from RNAcentral.